Molecule: long non-coding RNA, 1360 nt
Filed under: Mytilus galloprovincialis (Mediterranean mussel)
Lineage: Eukaryota; Metazoa; Mollusca; Bivalvia; Mytilida; Mytilidae
Source: RNAcentral
UCAUAACCAGGUGCUCCGCAGGGCGCAGCUUUAUACGACCGCAGAGGUCGAACCCUGAACAGUUGGGGCAAGUAUGGACAAAACAUUCAAGCGUGAUACAGCUCUGAAUUUGGAUUGUGAUCAAAUUUUUGACAUUACAUGGUUUUUUUUUACACAAAACAAAUGUCAAGAUUUUACAAAUCAAUCAAAGAUUUCUUCUUCAAACUUUUUAAAUCUAAAAUUAAAUAGUUGAUCAUGACACAGCAUAGGUUUCUGACACAGAACGAAUGUGGUCUAAUGAACUUAAAAGUUUUUUUUGCCUUUGAGCAAUUCACUAUGCUGUUGAAUAUUAAUCCUCUCAAACAAAUGUUUGAAGAAAUUUUCUUUUUAUUUAUGAAAUCUGAAAUGAGAAAAAUUUAAACCCCCCCCCCUUUUUUCACAUCCCCGUUUCCCUUUUUCCAAAACUGAUAUCAAUUCAAAUUUCUAAUGGAGUUUGCAACAAUAACUACUCUUUUAAAUAAAUCAUAAAAUAUUAAAAUGUAAAAUAUAGUGCUUGUUAUCACUGAAUGUAAAGAUUGGUUGUAGUAAAAGUGAAUAUACAUUGUUUAUUGUAUAAAACAAUAAAAAAAACUUCAUCAGCAACAUUUUAUAUUGGCAAAUUUCCAAUGAAGUUAUUUACAUAAAAUUAUUGGCAAAUAAAAAUAGAAAAUGACAUCAUAGUCAUGUCUGGCAAAUGUCCAACAUACAUUAUCUAAAAACAUUUUAGAUAAGAUAAGGGAAAAAAAGCUUCAUCAGCAACAUUUUAUAUUGGCAAAUUUCCAAUGAAGUUAUUUACAUAAAGUUAUUGGCAAAUAAAAAUAGAAAAUGACAUCAUAGUCAUGUCUGGCAAAUUUCCAACAUAUAAAAUCAACUACUAUUCUAUACAAAGAAAGAUAACUCCAAUUGAAAAUUAAUUGCUAUUGCACAAUAUUGUGCAAUUAGAUAUUUCUUGCUAUUGUGCAAUACUGUGCAAUUGAAAAUUUCUUGCUAUUGCACAAUACUUGAUAUGGAAUCCUGAUUUGGACCAACUUGAAAACUGGGCCCAUAAUCAAAAAGCAAAGUACAUGUUUAGAUAAAGCAUAUCAAAUAAGCCCAAGAAUUUAAUUUUUUGUUAAAAUCAAACUUAGUUUAAUUUUGGACCCUUUGGACCUUAAUGUAGACCAAUUUGAAAACUGGACCAAAAAUUAAGAAUCUACAUACACAGUUAGAUUUGGCAUAUCGAAGAACCCAUUUAUUCAAUUUUUGAUGAAAUCAAACAAAGUUUAAAUUUGGACCCCCAUUUGGACCAACUUGAAAACUAGGCCAAUAAUUAAAAAUCUAAGUUCAUUUUUAAAUUCAGCAU